GCUGGGUACGGCUAUGGCACAUGCCUGUAAUCCCAACAACUCGGGGAGGCUGAGGCAGGAGGAUCACAGUUCUGAAGCCAGCCUCAGCAACUUAGUGAGACCCUGUCUCAA
RNAcentral lists this small RNA (111 nucleotides) under Marmota monax (woodchuck). The record is from RNAcentral. Lineage: Eukaryota; Metazoa; Chordata; Mammalia; Rodentia; Sciuridae.